Molecule: long non-coding RNA, 336 nt
Filed under: Scleropages formosus (Asian bonytongue)
Lineage: Eukaryota; Metazoa; Chordata; Actinopteri; Osteoglossiformes; Osteoglossidae
Description: lncRNA (ENSSFOG00015026724.1)
Source: RNAcentral
CCGCUGGACUAGGGUGGCAGUGCCAGCAUCAUGGGGGGUCUCAACUGCGCACCGUGGCUGUGUGCUGAGGCCUGCCUGAACUCCAGCGGCCUUGCGAUGCCACUCCCCUCCCUAGGCCGCGUCGUCAUGCAUCGACCCGGCACUGAAAGGAGAACGGCAAGAUCUCGGAAAUUCGGCAUGGACAACUUGGAAAGACGCACCAGCACUGUCACACUGCAGCCUCCCCCCUAACGCCUGGAAGCCCAGACAGCAUGGCCGGCAUGGUCUCGCCUCCCCCAUGAGGCGCACUGGAUGUGCAACUUCUCCCGGCCUCAGACCAGCCCAGGAAUCACAGAG